UAUCCCACAAUUCCCUUCUCGCCGCGCGUUACCCCGACCGCUGAUUAAUUCCUUCUGUCAGUAGCCGCCAAGUGAUUGAUUUCGGUUGUGGGUGUGGCCGGAGGAACCGUGGAUCUUGAGCGGGUUGUUUCGAGAUCACGCCCCCCUUGAUCUGUCCUUGGUAGAUCCCCGCUUUUCCGUUCAGGGCGCAGUGGCUUCGCUUGUGUGGAUCCCUCAGUGUUGUACUACUGUUGCUAUACAUAGCCUAGUUCUUCAGACAACGAAGCUGGGAACAAGGAUAGAUGCACCCCUCCAUCUGCGCCAGAGUUUUACGAUCUGUGUCCCUCGAGUGCAACAGCCAUAGCCUCCAUUUGGUCAUGUUGUAAUGAACUUACAUGGCCCUUGAUUUGCAUUACUCAUCGCAGAUUGCACCUGCGAUGGGUCGAUCUUAGAACAUCAUUUCCUGCAGUACUGUAGUUCGUCGUCCCAUGUAUCUUAUGUCGGUCGAUCUUAGAACAUCAUUUCCUACAGUACUGCAGGUCAUCGUUCCAUGUAUCUUAUGUCACUCACUGGGCAUGCCUCUUUUAUGAGGUCCCCACAUAAUAACCUUUGGACUGGAUUCAUGAGUUAACAUGAUGAAUCGUUUAAACAGUGUAUCUAUCUACUAGCAUGAAUUAUAAUUUUCGCUUCUUCAAUUAUCUCUGAA
Long non-coding RNA from Triticum urartu, 685 nucleotides. RefSeq lists it as uncharacterized. Lineage: Eukaryota; Viridiplantae; Streptophyta; Magnoliopsida; Poales; Poaceae. The record is from RefSeq and is a predicted model, not a curated record.